UACGUAGGGCGCAAGCGUUGUCCGGAAUUAUUGGGCGUAAAGGGCUCGUAGGCGGUUUGUCGCGUCGGGAGUGAAAACACACAGCUUAACUGUGUGCUUGCUUCCGAUACGGGCAGACUAGAGGUAUGCAGGGGAGAACGGAAUUCCUGGUGUAGCGGUGAAAUGCGCAGAUAUCAGGAGGAACACCGGUGGCGAAGGCGGUUCUCUGGGCAUUACCUGACGCUGAGGAGCGAAAGUGUGGGGAGCGAACAGG
This 253-nucleotide ribosomal RNA is filed under the name uncultured bacterium. RNAcentral describes it as "partial 16S ribosomal RNA". It matches the Rfam family "Bacterial small subunit ribosomal RNA", at positions 524 to 776 of the family's 1533-position model. The record is from RNAcentral.